This 253-nucleotide ribosomal RNA is filed under the name uncultured bacterium. RNAcentral describes it as "partial 16S ribosomal RNA". It matches the Rfam family "Bacterial small subunit ribosomal RNA", at positions 524 to 776 of the family's 1533-position model. The record is from RNAcentral.
UACGUAGGAGACGAGCGUUGUCCGGAGUUACUGGGCGUAAAGGGUGCGCAGGUGGCGGCGCGCGUGGGGGGUGAAAUCGCCCGGCUUAACUGGGCGGGGGCCUUCCAGACGGCGUGGCUUGAGCAGCGGAGGGGGACGUGGAAUUCCGGGUGGAGCGGUGAAAUGCGUAGAGAUCGGGAGGAACAUCAGUUGCGAAGGCGGCUCUCUGGACCAGCACUGACACUGAGGCACGAAAGCGUGGGGAGCAAACAGG